AGAGAGAGAGGAAGAGAGAAAGACAACGGAGAGAACAACGCUACGGACGAGUCGCACUGGCAACGCAUCGGGUAUUCAAUAUCGCGGGUAUCGAUUCGAAUACAUCUCCCGAUGUGCCACGCUCAAAUGGCAGCCGAACGUGGCGGCGACGGGGACGACGAGCUGCUGCCGCCACCGCUGCCGCCGCCGAUGAUGAUGAUGACGAGAACGAGGAGUCGAGCGUUUCGAAGAGACGACGAGAGUUUCUCUCUCUUUCUCUUUCUCUCUAUUUCUUCGCUCUCCACCUCGACAGUCACUGAAUGCGAAAACCCGUGACUAAUUAGUUAUGGAGAAAAAUUGACAGACGACGUCCAGCUGCGAAAUAAAUCUCGUUACUGUUUUA
Molecule: long non-coding RNA, 382 nt
Organism: Monomorium pharaonis (pharaoh ant)
Lineage: Eukaryota; Metazoa; Arthropoda; Insecta; Hymenoptera; Formicidae
Exons: 2
Source: RefSeq, a predicted model, not a curated record